This is a long non-coding RNA of Oreochromis aureus, 485 nucleotides long. The record is from Ensembl. NCBI's taxonomy places the organism in Eukaryota, Metazoa, Chordata, Actinopteri, Cichliformes, Cichlidae.
CGACCACUUCGUUUUAUAUGUCUUUUAUUCGUGUUUCUAGGUCACAAAAUAAGCUUUUAAGAUAUUUUCAGGCGAGAAUGUAGGUGGGACCGUCUCGUUGCAGAGAAACAAGCACAGGGCUCUCACUGAUUGAGCGUUAUGACAAAAAUGACUCCAAGAUUCCUCACAGUGUUCCUGAAGGCCAAGGUAAUGCCAUCCCAAUUCCUGUCAGUGGAGGAACUCUUAUUCCCCUGAUAUCGCCCCACAGAAUGCUUGCUUGUAGCUGAGCACUGAGCCUCAUCAAUGGAGCCAUUGUCAACUGGCAGCCUGUGCACAUGCUGUAAAACCUGAAGUGCCAAAAGAUGGAUGCAUCGGAGAGCAAGUGGGGGUUAAUAUCUUGCCCAAGGAUAUUUCGUAUGCAGACUGGGGGAGCGAAGAAUCAAACCACCGUCCUUCCGAUCAGCAGAUGACCUGCUCUACCUCCUGACCUACAGCCACCCCACUAG